Drosophila kikkawai is the source of this 1834-nucleotide non-coding RNA. The record is from RefSeq and is a predicted model, not a curated record. NCBI's taxonomy places the organism in Eukaryota, Metazoa, Arthropoda, Insecta, Diptera, Drosophilidae.
GAGACUUUCGCGCUACGGUCACACUUACACGGAAAAAUCGUGAAAAUUCUACGCUACAAAAAAACUGAAAAUCUCUUAAAACUACAAGUUAGCAAAUAAUUUGAAAAGAUGUCACUUUUCGGAGCGUUGAUGGGUGACUUUGACGAUGAUCUUGGCCUGAUGAACAACCACAUGAAUCACACUAUGAACGCCAUGAACAUGCAGAUGCGCUCGAUGAACCGCCUGAUGAGCUCCUUCAUGCCGGACCCCUUCAUGCAGGGUUCGCCCUUUGAUCCGGGCUUCCAGCAGAGCGCCCUAAUGGAGCGUCCACAGAUGCCGGCCAUGCCAGCCAUGGGACUCUUUGGCAUGCCCAUGAUGCCCAACUUUAAUCGCUUGCUGAAUGCCGAUAUUGGUGCCAAUCCAGGAGCCUCAUUUUGCCAGAGCACCGUGAUGACCAUGUCCUCGGGCCCUGAUGGCCGCCCGCAGAUCUACCAGGCCAGCACCAGCACCAAGACAGGACCUGGAGGCGUGCGCGAGACCCGCAAAACAGUUCAGGACUCCCGCACUGGCGUCAAAAAGAUGGCCAUUGGACACCACAUUGGCGAGCGGGCACACAUCAUUGAGAAGGAGCAGGACAUGCGCUCGGGCCAGCUGGAGGAGCGCCAGGAGUUUAUCAAUCUAGAGGAGGAAGAGGCCGAGCAGUUUGAUCGCGAGUUCACCUCGCGUGCCACGCGCGGAGCCGUACAGCCGGGACAUCGUGGUGGCAGUGGAAUGCAGGCCAUUAUGCCCGCUCGUCCGGCGGCCCACUCGUCGUCCACGUUGACCAUUGAACCGGUUGAGGAUGAUGACGAAGAUGAUGAUUGUGUGAUUCAGGAGCAGCAGCAGCCGCUGCCAAUGCGCUCCGUUGCCGGCCGACACUUGCCCUCAGCGCCAGCGGCGGGUCCGCACAGCAGCAGCAGCAGCAGCAUGGCAGCACCAGCAGCAACAGCAACAUCUUCGCCAGCCAUCUAUGAUCUAACCAAUGGCCACAACCACAACAACAACAACAACUAUGUGAGCUCGCGUCGCUCGUAUCUGCGAAAUGGCCAUGGCCAGCAUGGCCUGGCCACACCCCGUCGACCACUGCGCACCCCACCAUCCUCGCCGCUGGCCACGGUGUCCAGCGGUAGUCACAGCUUUGCCGCCUCGCCAAGAGAUUGGCGUCUAUAUAAUUCGCGGCACUAUCGCAAGUAGAGCGAUGAUCAUGAACCAAAAAUAAAAUAAAAGCGAAAAAAGAAAAAAGAAAAGAAUAUGCUUAUCCUGAUAAAAUAUAUAUUAUCAUAUGUAAUCUAAAACAACGAACCAAGAACACCGGCUUACGGCGUAACCACAUGCACCACACACUCUACUAACCGAAAGGCGGCGCCGCUACUCCUUCUCAUCGUUUGCCACAAGAACUGCGUUACAACAACAACAGCAUCUCCGAAAUCUACUACGUGUAAGGCGCCCACACUCCCCACUCACACAUACACACAUCUAUAUCUAUCUGUCUGCAUUGAAACAAAUACCCUGCCGACUGCGACGUUUAAUUGGCCUUCGACGACGCUUGACAAAAUUCUAACCUUGUUGUUGCUGCUGCUGCUGCUGUUGCUGCUGCGCCUAAGCUCCACUACGACUCUAAUCCUACGACCUACGAUCACCAGCAUCUGCUUAAUCAUUUGACCCUCCAUUAUCAUCAUUAAUCCUGCCAUUAAAAUUAACAAUUUGCGUUUGAAUUGGCCUUGUCAUACACCCACAUCCCUAUGCCGCACAUGGCUCGGCACAUUCGCGGCGCCAGCAACGCGGAAUGAAGCAACAUCACCAGUAUGCAGAGGAG